RNAcentral lists this ribosomal RNA (544 nucleotides) under uncultured bacterium. RNAcentral describes it as "bacterial SSU rRNA". It matches the Rfam family "Bacterial small subunit ribosomal RNA", at positions 358 to 916 of the family's 1533-position model. The record is from RNAcentral.
GGAAUUUUCCGCAAUGGGCGAAAGCCUGACGGAGCAACGCCGCGUGAGGGAUGAAGGCCUCUGGGCUGUAAACCUCUUUUAUCAAGGAAGAAGAUCUGACGGUACUUGAUGAAUAAGCCACGGCUAAUUCCGUGCCAGCAGCCGCGGUAAUACGGGAGUGGCAAGCGUUAUCCGGAAUUAUUGGGCGUAAAGCGUCCGCAGGCGGUCUUUUAAGUCUGUCGUCAAAGCGUGGAGCUUAACUCCAUUCCUGCGAUGGAAACUGGGAGACUAGAGUGUGGUAGGGGCAGAGGGAAUUCCCGGUGUAGCGGUGAAAUGCGUAGAUAUCGGGAAGAACACCAGUGGCGAAGGCGCUCUGCUGGGCCAUAACUGACGCUCAUGGACGAAAGCCAGGGGAGCGAAAGGGAUUAGAUACCCCUGUAGUCCUGGCCGUAAACGAUGAACACUAGGUGUCGGGGGAAUCGACCCCCUCGGUGUCGUAGCCAACGCGUUAAGUGUUCCGCCUGGGGAGUACGCACGCAAGUGUGAAACUCAAAUGAAUUGACGG